This 547-nucleotide ribosomal RNA is filed under the name uncultured bacterium. RNAcentral describes it as "bacterial SSU rRNA". It matches the Rfam family "Bacterial small subunit ribosomal RNA", at positions 355 to 896 of the family's 1533-position model. The record is from RNAcentral.
UGGGGAAUAUUGCGCAAUGGGGGCAACCCUGACGCAGCCAUGCCGCGUGAAUGAAGAAGGCCUUCGGGUUGUAAAGUUCUUUCGGUGACGAGGAAGGCGUGAUGUUUAAUAGGCAUCACGAUUGACGUUAAUCACAGAAGAAGCACCGGCUAACUCCGUGCCAGCAGCCGCGGUAAUACGGAGGGUGCGAGCGUUAAUCGGAAUAACUGGGCGUAAAGGGCACGCAGGCGGCUAUUUAAGUGAGGUGUGAAAUCCCCGGGCUUAACCUGGGAAUUGCAUUUCAGACUGGGUAGCUAGAGUACUUUAGGGAGGGGUAGAAUUCCACGUGUAGCGGUGAAAUGCGUAGAGAUGUGGAGGAAUACCGAAGGCGAAGGCAGCCCCUUGGAAAUGUACUGACGCUCAUGUGCGAAAGCGUGGGGAGCAAACAGGAUUAGAUACCCUGGUAGUCCACGCUGUAAACGCUGUCGAUUUGGGGAUUGGGCCUUGAGCUUGGUGCCCGAAGCUAACGUGAUAAAUCGACCGCCUGGGGAGUACGGCCGCAAGGUUA